GACACCUUAAUCCAACAUCGAGGUCGCAAACCCUUCUUUCAAUGUGAACUCUCCAGAAAGAUUACGCUGUUAUCCCUGUGGUAACUUUUUCCGAUAAUCAACAAUGCUGGAUCACUUGUUAGUAAACCAAAAUUCUACAAAUUAACAGAGAAGCUUUUCAUGUUCCCUAGUCACCCCAACUAAAGAUGUAAGAAUAAAUUUAAAAUCCUCUAUUCUAAUAGAAACAACCCCUUUAUUCCACACUAAAGCUCAACAGGGUCUUCUCGUCCCUCAGCUGAAUCUAAGCCUUUUCACUUAGAAGUUAAUUUUUAAAUAUUCCAGGAGAGACAGCUCAGCCCUCGUCAAACCAUUCAUACCAGCCUCCAAUUAAAAGGCAAGUGAUUGUGCUACCUUUGCACGGUCAGUGUACCGCGGCCGUUU
This 420-nucleotide ribosomal RNA is filed under the name Haliotis discus hannai (Japanese disc abalone). RNAcentral describes it as "partial 16S rRNA". The record is from RNAcentral. Lineage: Eukaryota; Metazoa; Mollusca; Gastropoda; Lepetellida; Haliotidae.